CGGGGGCCGCUUCCACCCUCGAGACAGCGGAAGAGCAUCCACCGACGCCAUCCUCCUCCCAUUAAGUGAGCCGGAAGAGGAAGUUCCUCUGCCCUUUCCCCAGAAUCCUCUCUAGCAGUCCAAUCCUCUAUCGUUUCCAGUUGUUCCGGCUCAGCCUCUCUCCCUCCCGUAUGACGUUGGCACUAGCGAUGCGGCUGCUGUGUACAGAACUGUAUUCUCUGCUUUCCAGCUAAGAAGCACCCUAUUUCCUACUGGUGCCCCAUCCCGGCUAAGCAAAGGAAAUUUGGGCUCGAAUUUCUGUCACAACCUGAGAACUACCGAUAUUUCUUUUCCAAGCUCAGGAGAGGGCUGGAAGUAUCAUUUCCCCCUUUUGGACAUCCUGGCCAGCUUCAUACCUUGAACAUCAGUUUGUUGUGCAUAAGAAAAUCAUGAGAGGCUUUCCUGGCAGAGGAAUUCAAGGCAUUGCUUCAGAUUAAGACCUUUUCUAAGGGCAGCUGAAGAGGGGAAUGAAAGGCUGGCAGCCUGGAACUUCAACUCGCCCUCGGCCUGCAGCUCUGACUUUGCCACCCGUAGAAAGGGCUGUGCAGGAGAAAGACACCUGGGCCCUUCUCGGUCUGGGUUCAGGCUGAGGCACAUCACCAAAAUGGCAUUGGUUGCAACUCUCGUGGACUUUAGGAGGCCUCAGGAUAGACGGGGUGCAACCAUUAUGUCCUUGCUGGACCUCUCAUCAGCUUUCAAUACUGUAUCAUCGACCAUGAUAUUGAAGGGAUUUUAUUGUGCUUAGGAUUUUACUAUGCUUAAGGUUGAUAGUAGUAGUGUUAUUUUGUAACCAUUUUAUAUUGAUACUACUAGUGAUAUUUUGUAAUCAUCUUAUAUAUAAUUUUGUUCAUGUGCAAGCAGCUCUGUAGGAGCCUUAUAUUGGGAAAUUAUUUACAUAAAAGCAAAUGUUUCAUGCUAAAUAUAGAGGAGAUUGCUUACAUGGAAGGAGCAACGUGAGAUUCAGUGGUCCGGGAAAUAAGGAGAGGGAAGGUGAGCUAGCCUGGAUUGAUGUGUAGGAGUCAUGACCUUGGAAUUUGUUUUUCUGUGCUUCCUUAGUCCUGGUAUGGGGACUUGAGUCUCUUUGUUCUGAAAGGGUAUAAAGAGUGGAAGAAA
Molecule: long non-coding RNA, 1152 nt
Organism: Crotalus tigris (Tiger rattlesnake)
Lineage: Eukaryota; Metazoa; Chordata; Lepidosauria; Squamata; Viperidae
Exons: 2
Source: RefSeq, a predicted model, not a curated record